GACGAACGCUGGCGGCGUGCUUAACACAUGCAAGUCGAACGGCAAGGCCCUGCUUUUGUGGGGUGCUCGAGUGGCGAACGGGUGAGUAACACGUGAGUAACCUGCCCUUGACUUUGGGAUAACUUCAGGAAACUGGGGCUAAUACCGGAUAGCAGCUCCUGCUGCAUGGUGGGGGUUGGAACGUUUCGGCGGUUGGGGAUGGACUCGCGGCUUAUCAGCUUGUUGGUGGGGUAGUGGCUUACCAAGGCUUUGGCGGGUAGCCGGCCUGAGAGGGUGACCGGCCACAUUGGGACUGAGAUACGGCCCAGACUCCUACGGGAGGCAGCAGUGGGGAAUAUUGCACAAUGGGCGGAAGCCUGAUGCAGCAACGCCGCGUGCGGGAUGACGGCCUUCGGGUUGUAAACCGCUUUCGCCUGUGACGAAGCGUGAGUGACGGUAAUGGGUAAAGAAGCACCGGCUAACUACGUG
RNAcentral lists this ribosomal RNA (468 nucleotides) under uncultured bacterium. Its description in RNAcentral is "partial 16S ribosomal RNA". It matches the Rfam family "Bacterial small subunit ribosomal RNA", at positions 28 to 507 of the family's 1533-position model. The record is from RNAcentral.